GUGAGGAAUAUUGCGCAAUGGAGGCAACUCUGACGCAGCCAUGCCGCGUGCAGGAAGAAGGCGCUACGCGUUGUAAACUGCUUUUAACCGGGAAGAAACCCCAGGACGUGUCCUGGGUUGACGGUACCGGAGGAAUAAGCACCGGCUAACUUCGUGCCAGCAGCCGCGGUAAUACGAAGGGUGCAAGCGUUAUCCGGAUUCAUUGGGUUGAAAGGGUUCGUAGGCGGAGCGUUAAGUCAGUGGUGAAAUCCUGCAGCUUAACUGUAGACUUGCCAUUGAUACUGGCGCUCUUGAGUGCGCUUGAAGUGGGCGGAAUGUGCCGUGUAGCGGUGAAAUGCUUAGAUAUGGCACAGAACACCAAUUGCGAAGGCAGCUCACUAAGGCGAUACUGACGCUGAGGCACGAAAGCGUGGGGAUCGAACAGGAUUAGAAACCCGAGUAGUCC
RNAcentral lists this ribosomal RNA (445 nucleotides) under uncultured bacterium. RNAcentral's name for it is "partial 16S ribosomal RNA". It matches the Rfam family "Bacterial small subunit ribosomal RNA", at positions 354 to 796 of the family's 1533-position model. The record is from RNAcentral.